Molecule: ribosomal RNA, 837 nt
Filed under: Providencia alcalifaciens
Lineage: Bacteria; Pseudomonadati; Pseudomonadota; Gammaproteobacteria; Enterobacterales; Morganellaceae
Description: partial 23S ribosomal RNA
Rfam family: Bacterial large subunit ribosomal RNA
Source: RNAcentral
CGAAUGCUGACAUAAGUAACGAUAAUGCGGGUGAAAAACCCGCACGCCGGAAGACCAAGGGUUCCUGUCCAACGUUAAUCGGGGCAGGGUGAGUCGACCCCUAAGGCGAGGCAGAAAUGCGUAGUCGAUGGGCAACGGGUUAAUAUUCCCGUACUGGUGAUAAUUGCGAUGGGGGGACGGAGAAGGUUAGGCUGGCCGGGCGACGGUUGUCCCGGUUUAAGGAUGUAGGCAGGUGAAUUAGGCAAAUCCGGUUCACUAUAUGCUGAGGUCUGAUGACGAGUCACUACGGUGGCGAAGUAGCUGAUACCCUGCUUCCAGGAAAAGCCUCUAAGCUCUAGAUUAUCAUUAAUCGUACCCCAAACCGACACAGGUGGUCAGGUAGAGAAUACUCAGGCGCUUGAGAGAACUCGGGUGAAGGAACUAGGCAAAAUGGUGCCGUAACUUCGGGAGAAGGCACGCUGGCAUUAGGUGAAGUCCCUUGCGGAUGGAGCUCAAGCCAGUCGCAGAUACCAGCUGGCUGCAACUGUUUAUUAAAAACACAGCACUGUGCAAACACGAAAGUGGACGUAUACGGUGUGACGCCUGCCCGGUGCUGGAAGGUUAAUUGAUGGGGUUAUCCGUAAGGAGAAGCUCUUGAUCGAAGCCCCAGUAAACGGCGGCCGUAACUAUAACGGUCCUAAGGUAGCGAAAUUCCUUGUCGGGUAAGUUCCGACCUGCACGAAUGGCGUAAUGAUGGCCAGGCUGUCUCCACCCGAGACUCAGUGAAAUUGAACUCGCUGUGAAGAUGCAGUGUACCCGCGGCAAGACGGAAAGACCCCGUGAACCUUUACUAUAGCU